Molecule: non-coding RNA, 81 nt
Organism: Massariosphaeria phaeospora
Lineage: Eukaryota; Fungi; Ascomycota; Dothideomycetes; Pleosporales
Source: the annotation of a GenBank genome assembly
GGCCAGAUGGUGUAGCGGUAACACUACCCAAAUCACAUUGUGAGCUUCGGGUUGACGCAGGUUCGAAUCCCGCUUUGGCUG